Long non-coding RNA from Dermochelys coriacea (leatherback sea turtle), 1079 nucleotides. RefSeq lists it as uncharacterized. NCBI's taxonomy places the organism in Eukaryota, Metazoa, Chordata, Testudines, Dermochelyidae. The record is from RefSeq and is a predicted model, not a curated record. The transcript has 5 exons.
CUGGGCUGGCAUAGGCAGGGCUUCUGUAAGGCUAGGAAGAGAAGGGGGCCAUAGGGGGAGAGUGUCUGCAGUCAUCCCCUGCCAGGAGGGAGGUUUGUUAGAGAUUACAGGGCCUGCUAAGAAGCCAAAGGGAGAAAUAGCCACAGGGAGUGGAGAAAGUUCAGAUGGGUAGUAUACCCAGAGGUUUGAAAGAGGAAGCUGUAGAGAAGUAACAACCAGGAAGUAACAACCAGGCCUGGGUGUAAGUAGCCCAUAGUUGUAGCGUAUAGGUCCCUGGACUGGAUCCUGGUGUAGAGGGUAGAGCUACUGGGGAAGUAGUAGAGCCUUGGACAUAAAACACAGGCCUGCCUGGAACAGCAGCUUGUCCAGAAAGACCUUGACAGACCCCUGUAAGGGGAUAAUUAAAGUGAUCUGGCAAGAGGGACCACCCAGAGUUCUGGAGGAUGCAAUUGAAGACAACAAGUGACUGUAGAAGGGGCGUUGAACCAUGGCGAGCUAAUUCCCAGAUGGGCUGCUUGGAGGUGCGCAAGUAAACUCCUAUCAGAACAUCCUUCUGCUGUUGAGCUUCCAACCUGAUACAAUCUUCAGUAAAGCAAAUAGUACCCAAGUGGCAACAGAUGAAGCAUUGUUCCCAGUAGUUGAGCCUCAAAACCCCCUUCCUGCUGGCUUUUCCAGGUUAUCAUCAGCAGGAAUUGAAGGCAGGACCUCAAGCAUGAGCCUUUACUGCUGGAGCUAAAAAACCCAGGCUUCAUAACUCCAAGGCUAUACCAGACUCACAAACCUCCUGUGGACUAGCAACAAGAAACUGACAAGCACCACAACCUUAGCAUUGAUUACACAAACCAUCCAAUCAAGAUAACAGAAAGGAAUUGAAAGCACAGGAGACAGACAAGAAAGAAUGUCCUUUUGCGGCUCUCCACAAUAGAUCAGCUUUGCACCCUGAAAGCAUGACCUUGAUUAAAAGUACGUGACUACUUGGGUCCUGAUUCAGCUUGAAUGUCAAAGGCUUGAAGAAGAGAAGUGUGUAAUCCUGUGGCUUUGUAUCAGAAAGAUUCAUUAAAACCUCUUUUGGUUUUGGA